Molecule: ribosomal RNA, 218 nt
Filed under: Strumigenys subedentata
Lineage: Eukaryota; Metazoa; Arthropoda; Insecta; Hymenoptera; Formicidae
Description: partial large subunit ribosomal RNA
Source: RNAcentral
GAAUUUAAUAUAAUUAUAAAAAUAUAUUUAUUAAAAUUAAUAUAUAUGAUUAAUAUUUAAUUGGGAGGAUUAUUAAAUUUAAGAAACUUUAAGAUUAUUUAAAUUAUAAAUUAAUAUAUAGAAUUUUUUUGAGUGGUUAUUAAAUUAAAGUAAAAUUAAUUACCUUAGGGAUAACAGCGUAAUAUUUUUAUAGAGAUCUUAUUGAUAAAAAUGAUUGC